GAUGAACGCUAGCGACAGGCCUAACACAUGCAAGUCGAACGGCAGCACGGGGCAACCUGGUGGCGAGUGGCGAACGGGUGAGUAAUACAUCGGAACGUGCCCAAUCGUGGGGGAUAACGUAGCGAAAGUUACGCUAAUACCGCAUACGAUCUACGGAUGAAAGCGGGGGAUCGCAAGACCUCGCGCGAGUGGAGCGGCCGAUGUCAGAUUAGGUAGUUGGUGGGGUAAAGGCUCACCAAGCCAACGAUCUGUAGCUGGUCUGAGAGGACGACCAGCCACACUGGAACUGAGACACGGUCCAGACUCCUACGGGAGGCAGCAGUGGGGAAUUUUGGACAAUGGGCGUAAGCCUGAUCCAGCCAUUCCGCGUGCAGGAUGAAGGCCUUCGGGUUGUAAACUGCUUUUGUACGGAACGAAACGGCGAGCUCUAAUACAGUUUGCUAAUGACGGUACCGUAAGAAUAAGCACCGGCUAACUACGUG
This 482-nucleotide ribosomal RNA is filed under the name uncultured bacterium. RNAcentral's name for it is "bacterial SSU rRNA". It matches the Rfam family "Bacterial small subunit ribosomal RNA", at positions 28 to 507 of the family's 1533-position model. The record is from RNAcentral.